UAUCCUGGAGACCUUUGACGUUUGUUCUUACUUGUUUUUCAGAUUCAUCUGGAUAAUAUCUGUGCACGAGGGCCCCAUCCUGGGUCUGGGAGUCCCGCGGAGCAGGUCCGUCACUGUUUGUCUCUGCAGCAGAAGUGUAAAUGGUGACUCUGUUACAGCGCUGUUCUUUGUCUUUUUCGGAAGUCAAGGCAGAGAGCCACAGUCAAGGCCAAGUAGGCAAGGUGGUCCACUUGCCAUCUCUCCUGGCCGAGCAUGCCCGAUGUCAGGUGCUGUCACCGCUCCAGGCAUGCCAAAGAACAGAGGAGAGCAGGUAUCCUUUGAGCAGCCUCUGGAGUAGAAUCAGGAUUUGAGGUACCCGGAGGAGGUUUGCAGCCAAAGUUUGGAAACGGCAGCACCGAAGCAAACACGGAGAACGUCCCGACGUCCACGUACAACCGACGAUGGAUUUCGUCCGCUCGUCUUCCAAAAGCUAAGUGUCGCGGCCAGUAGUUGGGAGAAGGGGAAAAACCUUUACUAUCACAGGGGGCAAUUUGAUGUCAGUUUAGCGCAGAGGUCUGUAGCGGGACGGGCUCUCUGGAAGCAAAGGGAGAGGGUUUCUCCUCAGCCUCACCACAGCCUCUGCCGGGCAGGGCAGUUCCGACCCAUCUCCACAUUGUCGUAAACUUUGCGUCGUCAGCCUUCUUCAACUCGACAUCGUCACGGAUCUUUCGCCCGAGGAGUUCGCCUUCAGGUCCGGAGCUACGGCCACGGUCAACCGGCGGUCUCCGCUUCCUUCUCUAGGCCCACCGAGCCUCUCGAGCGUCCUCUUAACCGCUUCGGCGCUAACUUCUUUUAACGAGUUACAUUUCAUCAUUACAUCCUAUCGUCAUACGGCUUUCUUUCCUUUUGCAUCAUCAGCCCCCGGCUCAUCUUGCGCUAGCAAUCUCGGGUCCAUAAGGUGAAAGCGCCAGGCAGUUUCCACUCGUCUCUCCGUUACAUCAUCCGUGUCUAUGUUACGUCAUCCAUGUCCGUGUUACGUAGUCUGUCUCCACCGUCUUCCAUGUCGUAGGCCUUCGUUCCAUCCCAGCUCUUUACGGGCACUAUUUCUUGCCAUAUCGGCCGUAUUUUACACACAUUCCUUCACUUAUUCCGGCAUCUUUAAAUCUUUACUCUUUGAGACAGGAAAGAUUACACAAGAUGUCCUCAUCCAUCUUCCUUCUCGCUACCGGCUUUGGUAGCGCCUUUUCCUCCACGCCAUUCUCUUGGACUUUUAGAGGGAGUGUCUUACACCCUCCUCACGUGACCGCAGUAGUUCUCUAGGUUCCAUCUUCUCAAAGGGUAUAGGGCUCAAGAAUUAAUCUUUCAGAGAGUUAUGUCAAGUCCUGGCUUAUACCUUAUCUACCUGUGUUGGCUUAUACUCUGUGUACUUAUACUGUAUCUACCUGCGUUGGCUUAUAUUGUAUGUACUCUAUAUUGUCUGUACCUAUGUUGGCUUAUAGUGUAUGUACUUAUAUUGUCUGUACCUAUGUUGGCUUAUAUUGUCUGUAAUUAUGUUGGCUUAUAGUGUCUGUACCUUUAGUGUCUGUACCUAUGUUGGCUUAUAGUGUCUGUACCUAUGUUGGCUGUCCCUAUGUUGGCUUAUAGUGUCUGUACCUAUGCUGGCUUAUAGUGUCUGUACCUAUGUUGGCUGUACCUAUGUUGGCUUAUAGUGUCUGUACCUAUGCUGGCUGUACCUAUGUUGGCUUAUAGUGUCUGUACCUAUGUUGGCUUAUAGUGUCUGUACCUAUGUUGGCUUAUAGUGUCUGUACCUAUGUUGGCUUAUAGUGUCUGUACCUAUGUUGGCUUAUAGUGUCUGUACUUAUAGUGUC
Molecule: long non-coding RNA, 1847 nt
Organism: Haemorhous mexicanus (house finch)
Lineage: Eukaryota; Metazoa; Chordata; Aves; Passeriformes; Fringillidae
Exons: 5
Source: RefSeq, a predicted model, not a curated record